UCCAAAUGGUCAUAUUCUUCUUAUUGGCUUGUUUUAAAACAGAAGUUGUUGACUAACGUGGAGCGUGUUAAGAGAGAAAUAGGAUAUGAUAGCUCUUUUGGUAUAUGUGAUCAUCAUUUGGAAGAUAUUCCACGUUAUCAAAGAUUGUCGGCUAAAGUAAUAUGGAUGCAAGCUCUUCCAAAUGAAAUAAAUGGGAGCUUCUUUGCAGGAGACUUUCUCCCGUAGUUAAAGGUUAAUUUGUAGAGUCCUGCCAGAUUAGUUGACAAUGAGACGUAUAUAGCAGAUAGUUGGAUCAAUCUUUACAUCGAUAGAACAAUUCAAAUUGCUUCUGAGGAUGCUGCAGCAAGGGGAGUCAUGAGAAAUGGAAAUGGAGAGUGGAUUAUGGGUAACGACAAGUGUUGAUUUUCAUUUAUGUAUAAAUAUACAUAUACGUAUACAUAUGGUGACGUGAUUCAAUUCAUGCAAUUUAUUUAAAGCAAAUUUAAGCCAAAA
Molecule: long non-coding RNA, 492 nt
Organism: Gossypium arboreum
Lineage: Eukaryota; Viridiplantae; Streptophyta; Magnoliopsida; Malvales; Malvaceae
Exons: 2
Source: RefSeq, a predicted model, not a curated record